Molecule: ribosomal RNA, 503 nt
Filed under: uncultured bacterium
Lineage: Bacteria
Description: bacterial SSU rRNA
Rfam family: Bacterial small subunit ribosomal RNA
Source: RNAcentral
AUUGAACGCUGGCGGCGUGCUUAACACAUGCAAGUCGAUCGGUAACAGGUGUAGCAAUACAUGCUGACGAGAGGCGGACGGGUGAGUAAUGCUUGGGAAUCUGCCUAUUAGUGGGGGACAACCCGGGGAAACUCGGGCUAAUACCGCAUACGCUCUACGGAGGAAAGCCGGGGACCGCAAGGCCUGGCGCUAAUAGAUGAGCCCAAGUCGGAUUAGCUAGUUGGUAGGGUAACGGCCUACCAAGGCGACAAUCCGUAGCUGGUCUGAGAGGACGACCAGCCACACCGGAACUGAGACACGGUCCGGACUCCUACGGGAGGCAGCAGUGGGGAAUAUUGGACAAUGGGGGCAACCCUGAUCCAGCGACGCCGCGUGGGUGAAGAAGGCCUGCGGGUUGUAAAGCCCUUUCGGUGGGAAGAAAAGUCUCGACCUAAUACGUCGGGACCUUGACCGUAACCCACUAAAGAAGCACCGGCUAACUCUGUGCCAGCAGCCGCCGUAAC